Molecule: ribosomal RNA, 465 nt
Filed under: Vreelandella stevensii
Lineage: Bacteria; Pseudomonadati; Pseudomonadota; Gammaproteobacteria; Oceanospirillales; Halomonadaceae
Description: partial 16S ribosomal RNA
Rfam family: Bacterial small subunit ribosomal RNA
Source: RNAcentral
CCUACGGGUGGCAGCAGUGGGGAAUAUUGGACAAUGGGGGCAACCCUGAUCCAGCCAUGCCGCGUGUGUGAAGAAGGCCCUCGGGUUGUAAAGCACUUUCAGUGAGGAAGAACGCCUGGUGGUUAAUACCCAUCAGGAAAGACAUCACUCACAGAAGAAGCACCGGCUAACUCCGUGCCAGCAGCCGCGGUAAUACGGAGGGUGCGAGCGUUAAUCGGAAUUACUGGGCGUAAAGCGCGCGUAGGUGGCUUGAUAAGCCGGUUGUGAAAGCCCCGGGCUCAACCUGGGAACGGCAUCCGGAACUGUCGAGCUAGAGUGCAGGAGAGGAAGGUGGAAUUGCCGGUGUAGCGGUGAAAUGCGUAGAGAUCGGGAGGAAUACCAGUGGCGAAGGCGGCCUUCUGGACUGACACUGACACUGAGGUGCGAAAGCGUGGGUAGCAAACAGGAUUAGAUACCCCGGUAGUC